GACGAACGCUGGCGGCGUGCUUAACACAUGCAAGUCGAACGGAAAGGCCCUGCUUUUGUGGGGUGCUCGAGUGGCGAACGGGUGAGUAACACGUGAGUAACCUGCCCUUGACUUUGGGAUAACUUCAGGAAACUGGGGCUAAUACCGGAUAGGAGCUCCUGCUGCAUGGUGGGGGUUGGAAAGUUUCGGCGGUUGGGGAUGGACUCGCGGCUUAUCAGCUUGUUGGUGGGGUAGUGGCUUACCAAGGCUUUGACGGGUAGCCGGCCUGAGAGGGUGACCGGCCACAGUGGGACUGAGGGACCGCCCGGAACCCAAAGGGAGGCCACAGUGGGGAAAGGUGGCAGAUGGGCGGAAGCCUGAUGCAGCAACGCCGCGUGCGGGAUGACGGCCUUCGGGUUGUAAACCGCUUUCGCCUGUGACGAAGCGUGAGUGACGGUAACGGGUAAAGAAGCACCGGCUAACUACGUG
This 468-nucleotide ribosomal RNA is filed under the name uncultured bacterium. RNAcentral's name for it is "partial 16S ribosomal RNA". It matches the Rfam family "Bacterial small subunit ribosomal RNA", at positions 28 to 507 of the family's 1533-position model. The record is from RNAcentral.